GACGAACGCUGGCGGCGUGCUUAACACAUGCAAGUCGAACGGUAAGGCCCCUUCGGGGGUACGACGAGUGGCGAACGGGUGAGUAACACGUGAGCAACCUGCCCUUGACUCUGGAAUAACAGUUGGAAACAGCUGCUAAUACCGGGUAUGACCUGUCAUCGCAUGGUGGUGGGUGGAAAGUUCUGGCGGUCAGGGAUGGGCUCGCGGCCUAUCAGCUAGUUGGUGAGGUAAUGGCUCACCAAGGCUUCGACGGGUAGCCGGCCUGAGAGGGCGACCGGCCACACUGGGACUGAGAUACGGCCCAGACUCCUACGGGAGGCAGCAGUGGGGAAUAUUGCACAAUGGGCGAAAGCCUGAUGCAGCAACGCCGCGUGCGGG
RNAcentral lists this ribosomal RNA (378 nucleotides) under uncultured bacterium. Its description in RNAcentral is "bacterial SSU rRNA". It matches the Rfam family "Bacterial small subunit ribosomal RNA", at positions 28 to 407 of the family's 1533-position model. The record is from RNAcentral.